CACACGACUGCGGUUGCUUGCAACGCACUGUGCCCCGUACCAGCUUUCUCCCUCUCUGUCUCCAUACAGUCUGUGUGUACUUCCGGGCGGCGUAUUCAUCAACAUACGCCCAAACCCCCCUCCCCUCCUCUUCAAAUACAGGCGCACGAGCGUACAUGCAACAUCUCGUACCCCCCCUUUCCAAUACAGCUCUCCCACUCCUUCUUUUUUCUUAAGAGACAAGCAAACAACAAGACAGACAGACAGACCCCCCCCCCCCCACACACACACAUACCACUGAGCUGGAACACUUGGUUUUAGGCUGUAGAAGGUGCUGCUCUCCCGUCUCGUUCAAGGUUUCCUUUCUUGCCCUCCCCUUGACACCGUCCCACCCCCUUUUUCCCGCUGUUUCCCCUCUUCUCUUUCCGACGUUGGCCUUGUGAAUCGCCGCUGCGCUUCCGUUGGAUGGUUUGCCUUUUUCUCCCUCUGCCGUGCUGGUUGCCCUUGUGCUUGUCUUGUUGCCGCGUACACGUUGACCGUAUUUUUGAUUUAUCCUUUCCUUUCCAUCUUCCUUCCCUUUUCUAUUUAUUUAUUUCGACAAACGAGGGGGGAGGGGGCGACACAAAACAGACAAAAGGGGAAGAGAAGCGGCACCCUUGAUUCCUCCCGUGGGCAUUCUUAUUGCUAUCAUAUAUCUAUAAUAUAUCUAUCUGUAUAUAUAUAAAUAUAUCCCUCCCUCCCUCUCUCCAUUUGUUUAUAUAUAUAUUCUCGGUGGUUCACUUCUCCCUCUCUUUCUAUCGGUUUGGCUUUCACAUUCUUCUUUAGCCGCUUCCAUCUUGCGUAUAUAUCUGUCAAACUUGUUUCUUCCGUUUUUCUCUUUUUUUCUGCUUCGCCUGAUCUUCCUUUCGCUUUCUCGCUUACUCGACCCAGCCCGCUGGAGGAGGAGACUGCGUUCCGACUGGAGCGCUGGCGCCUGCUUGCGUGUUGUAGAGUGCAAGCGAGCGGUUCUGCUGAAUCUGCGUCCUUCUGUGAGUACUUCCUCCCAUCGCUCCUUCUGCUCUCUCACUCUCCACGGAGCGUCCCCGAAGUCCCCCCUUCUCCCUAACUGACAAACGCACAGAAGGUGCCUCAGCCGCAGAAAGUUACACACACACACACACACACACACACAGUUGCGCCCACGGAGGGUGUAAGCGCCGGUGUUCGGUAGUCGAUCAACCAAAAACCUUUCCGUCUUCCCUUUUAUUGGAUAAUACCGUUCGUGUGCUUUAUUAUUAUUAGUACAUAAAUCUAUUUUUGUGCACUUGCAUUCGCGCUUGUAUGUGUGCAUACGUGUGUGUACGUCAGCUCCCCCCCCCCACCUCCCACUCUCUCCUUCUCUGUACGCUCAUGAAAAUAAUCCUGGCCGCCGCCACCUGUCACUUUUUUUUUGUUCUGCCCCCUCCCCUCUCCCCCUCCGAUCUUCGUAGGUCGGCUUCUGUUUGAUGUGACCUGCCGUGUUGCCGCGGCCUUUUUUUUCUGCCGGUUUCGGUGUUCGUCUUUCGCUGCUGCUCUUUUUGUUUGUAUGCAAGAUUAGUUUCCAUCUGCCCCCCUCCCCCCACACACACUUUUCCCCUCGCCUUCCUUGGCCUCCUUGUUUCCAUCUUGCACUGUUUUUCUGCUUUGUGUUUUCUUCUUCGCCUCUCACGCACGUUGUUCUUGUUGCUGCCUGUGGCAUCUCCUCUGCUCCGUGAACGGAGCAAGAAGGAAAGUUGCUGGUCUGCUUUCGAGGGCGUACGCAUUCUCCUUAUUUGUUGUUGUUAUCAUUAUUAUUUUUUAUUUGGUUCUUGGUAGCUGUUCAGCAUUUUCGCUGGGAGACGCACAUCUUAAUCGACUCGACGACUCCCUACGAGUAACCCGACGGUAGCGAGCAGCAGCGAAGCCAACGCACACGCACGUCUCUCUGCACACGCGAGUGCCACACACACACACACACACACACACACACACACACACACACACACACACACACACACACACACUACUGGGGACGGGCGGGUCAGAGGUCUUAGACGACGAAAUUUGCCCGAUUAUCACAGACGCCACCCUUUGUCGGCGGAAGGUGAGGUGCUUUCUCGAGUAGGGAGCGGGGCUUACUCACCAUCGCGGCAUUCCCCACUCUCUGCAGUCCUCUCGCACCACCUCUGAGCUGUGGUUUCGGGGGUAAAGUGUGGGCGCACGCACUGCGUUUCUACCAACGAUUUAGUAGCACGAAAGCCCGUCAAAGCCUGGUCGGUGCCGAAAAAUGUCGACGGCGGGUCGGUACAAGCACGUCGUGAAGCUCGGUGAGGGGACGUACGGCAGCGUCUACAAGGGCACGGAGAUUCAAACGGGCAAGGUGGUCGCGUUCAAGCGCAUGGUGGUGACUAGCGAUGACGAGGGCGUCCCCGGCGCCGCCAUCCGCGAGAUCUGCCUGCUGAAGGAGCUUCGGCACGACAACGUGGUAGACCUCUUUGAGGUUCUCUUCGAACCGCCCAAGAUCACCAUGAUCUUUGAGCUGUGCGACUGCGACCUGAAGCGUUUCAUGGAGUCGCGGCCGAAGCGCUUGCUGGAUGCCGAGGCGGAGAUGCGGCCCAUUCUGAAGCAGAUCUUCAUCGGGCUCGAGUAUCUGCACAGUCGUAGCGUGGUGCAUCGCGACAUGAAGCCGCAGAACAUUUUCGUGAACGUGCGCGCGCCAGACUUCGCGGCGUUGACGGCCUCUCCAUCCUCUCGCCAAGAUCACCUGCAGCCACCACCAUUCAGCGGCGUCCCGACCGCUGUUGGCGGAGACGUGCAGUCGGCCGCAGGGAGCGAUGGACGUCCAAACCCGUUUGCCGGAGCGGACAGCGUCCCGCCGUGGGAGGCGGCGGCGGCGGCGGCGGCACCGAGUAACACACCAAACCAGCUCAUUGUGAAGAUUGGCGACUUUGGUCUGGCGCGUGUAGAGGAGAUCCCGGUGAAGAAGUAUUCGCACGAGGUGGUGACGCUGUGGUACCGCAGCCCUGAUGUACUGAUGGGAUCGGCGCUGUACUCCUAUCCAGUCGACAUAUGGUCCAUGGGAGCCAUCUUUUUCGAAAUGGCAACAAGCAAGGUGCUUUUUAGCGGACGCCACGAGGACGAGCAGCUACUGCGCAUGUUCUGGCUGUUAGGCUCACCGACGCGAGAGACGUGGCCGUCCAUGCUCUCCUACCCCGGAGCGAUGGAGCGGCUCGAGCGUGCAUCGCGCGCGGCAGCGGAGCGGCCCGACUUGCGUUUCGGCAGCGAAGUGUACGUGCAGCAGCAGCAGCAGCAGCCGCCCUCCUCGCAGUCCCAUAGCGGAAGCCGUGCUCCAGACCUUCUCACACAGAUUGCGCACAAGCGCUUCUACCACAGCUUGAAGGCCAUUCAGCAGCGAGAGGAGAGCGCUCGCAGCUCAUCCAACACGUACCAACUUCCCGUCGAGCUGUGGUUUGACCGCCCGCUGUUCGGCGAGUACAUGUCCGCCACUGGCUUUGAUAGUUGCGUGACGGCAGAGGGAGUGAACCUUCUGCGCCAGUGCCUCCUGUAUGAGCCGAAUCAUCGCAUCACGGCAGCCGCGGCGGUCCGCCACGCGUACCUGCACGCCGUGUCCGUCCCCACAGCCGGCGCGUUGGACGUCCUCAUGACCUCUUUGCUGCAGACGAUGGAGGCCUGUCACCUGCUGUGAUGACUGCGGACUAGUUGGAGAGGGAAGGGAGGGGCUGGCGAUGGUCGGCGCCCUAGAGGGAAUCUGCCGCCAUCUUUGUGCUGUGGGUGAUGUAUGAGCACUCGUGAUUACGUCCUCGUUUCACGUCCGCGCGUUGUAUGUAUUCCUUUUUGUUUCGUUGUGGUUCUUUAGCAGCUGCUCUGCUUUUCAGCGUGCCCCUUCCACACACCAUCCGUCUCUCUCUGUGUAGCUCUCCUGCGCUGCGCCACCCUCACACGCUCGCACAAACUCACGAGCAUGCAGAAGGCAGAAACGGAGUCGACCGGUGGGCUCUGCAUGCACUCCUCGUCUUCUCGUGGUGGCAUCCGGCGCACAGUGCGGCGUCGACGAAGAUAGAGUCAGCUCCCUUUUCUCCAUAGCGAGAGCGAGCGGAUACUCUCCCCCUCUAUCUCCUCAAUAGAACGAAAGAGUCGACAAUGGAGGACCACGAGUGACAUGCAGGAGCCAGGAAUGAGGGCAGAGCGAAAUGGCGAUGAGGUGCACGCUGGUGGAGGGAGGGGGUAUCUUAAUCUGCGCCAUGCGGCGCGAAAAUCGGACAGGGAGAAUUGGGAGAGAGUAAAGAGCGGCUCUGCUUCUCCUUCGCGUUUGAGGGGGCGCUCAAAGGACGCUGUAAGGCGACAUCGCUGCUGUGCGCAGAGGAGCACCACACCUGUCUUGUGUGGCACUCUCUCUGUCUUCCCCCUCCGUCGCUUCUUGUGCGGCUGCGGCGUCAGAGGAGGGAGGUGUACACGCCAUCACACGUAAGGAGCACUUUGUAGAGAGAGAGAGGAGCAGAAAACAAAAGAAAGAAGUGAGAAGCGCGUGAACUGAGAGCACUCCAGAGAAGAGGAAAAAAAAAACGCGUCAGGGAGAGAGGGCGCGAGCACCUUCGCACACUUGCACCUCCGCCCCUCUUCCCCUCUCCCUACCUCCUCCGUUUCGUUUCUCAUUCUUGUGUUUGACCGUUUCGCUGUCCACCUGUUCUUACUAUCACCCAUGCCCCCGCCUCUUACCUAUGUUUUUAUUUGCUUCGGAUUCUUCAUUUUAGUUUUGUUUCCCCGUUUUGGUCAGUUUUCAAUGCUGUUUCAGUGGCUGUAGAUCUCUCUCUUGCCGUUCUCCUCUCUCUGCGCGUGUGCGUUCUUGCUUCGCUGUGCGGUUUCUCUCUAUCCGUGCUCUCUUCUCGCCUCCUCAUCUCUCUCUGUAUACGUCUUGGGUUGCUGUCUAGUGUUCUCAAUGUGUGACGUCUGUUGUCCGCGCUCGAGUGUGCUGCGUUGUGGUUGUUCUCUCUCGGCUGUCUCUCUAUCUUUCCUUCCGCUUGUGGUGGCGCACGUUCGCUGCUGACGCCGCCGUGGCCCCCCCCUCCUCUCCCCCCUUCCUUUCUCUUCCCCACCGGCGCCCAUUGCCCGCAUACUCCGUAGCUUCGUCGUGCCUUUGGCAUUUCUUUUUUUUUUCUCGCUCCACCGUUCUCUCUCUCCUGUCUCUCGGCCCCCUGCCGCUGUGCGAUCCACGGCGUAAUGUAAACGGAGCACGAACACACACG
RNAcentral lists this unclassified non-coding RNA (5240 nucleotides) under Leishmania donovani. RNAcentral describes it as "gene:LdHU3.16.1200(CDS-product:protein_kinase_put ative)". The record is from RNAcentral. Lineage: Eukaryota; Euglenozoa; Kinetoplastea; Trypanosomatida; Trypanosomatidae.